This 1243-nucleotide ribosomal RNA is filed under the name metagenome. RNAcentral's name for it is "bacterial LSU rRNA". It matches the Rfam family "Bacterial large subunit ribosomal RNA", at positions 1564 to 2818 of the family's 2925-position model. The record is from RNAcentral.
UGAGUACGAGAUGCUACGGCAUCGAAGCAGUCUAUGUCAUACUUCCAAGAAAAGCUUGCACUGUCAUAGACAAAGAAUGCCUGUACCAUAACCGACACAGGUGGGUAGGUAGAGUAUACUAAGGGGCGCGAGAUAACUCUCUCUAAGGAACUCGGCAAAAUGACUCCGUAACUUCGGGAGAAGGAGUGCCUUAUUUAUAAGGUUGCAAUAACAAGAUCCAAGCAACUGUUUACCAAAAACACAGGUCUCCGCGAAGUCGUAAGACGAUGUAUGGGGGCUGACGCCUGCCCAGUGCCAGAAGGUUAAAGAAGUUGGUUAGCAUUCGCGAAGCUGAUAACUGAAGCCCUGGUGAACGGCGGCCGUAACGAUAACGGUCCUAAGGUAGCGAAAUUCCUUGUCGGGUAAGUUCCGACCCGCACGAAAGGCGUAAUGAUUUGGAUACUGUCUCGGAGAGGGGCUCGGUGAAAUAGACUUGUCUGUGAAGAUGCGGACUACCUGCACCUGGACAGAAAGACCCUAUGAAGCUUUACUGUAACUUGAAAUUGAAAUUGGACUUUAUUUGCGCAGUAUAGGUGGGAGGCGUUGAGAAUAACCUAGCGGGGUUAUUGGAGCCAUCAGUGAGAUACCACUCUUGUAAUGUUAGAUUUCUAACUUUGUAUCAUUAUCUGGUCAAAGAACAGUUUCAGGCGGGCAGUUUGACUGGUCGGUCGCCUCCCAAACGGUAACGGAGGCGCACAAAGGUUUCCUCUGAACGGGUAGAAAUCGUAUCUAGAGUGUAAAGGCAUAAGGAAGCUUGACUGUGAGACCUACAAGUCGAGCAGGGACGAAAGUCGGUCUUAGUGAUCUGACGGUGCUGAGUGGAAAGGCCGUCACUCAACGGAUAAAAGUUACUCUAAGGAUAACAGGCUGAUCUCCCCCAAGAGUUCACAUCGACGGGGAGGUUUGGCACCUCGAUGUCGGCUCAUCGCAUCCUGGGGCGGUAGUACGUCCCAAGGGUUGGGCUGUUCGCCCAUGAAAGCGGUACGCGAGCUGGGUUCAGAACGUCGUGAGACAGUUCGGUCCAUAUCCGGUGUAGGCGUUAGAAUAUUGAGAGGAGCCUUCUCUAGUACGAGAGGACCGAGAAGGACAUACCUCUGGUGUACCAGUUAUCGUGCCAACGGUAAACGCUGGGUAGCUAUGUGUGAGUGGAUAACCGCUGAAAGCAUCUAAGUGGGAAGCCCACCUCAAGAUAAGUAUUCCCACC